GUCCCCGCGAGNGUNGGGGCGUCAAACCCCGGCGCGGAAUGAAAGUGAACGGAGGUGGGAGCCCCCCCGGGGGCGCACCAUCGACCGAUCCUGAUGUCUUCGGAUGGAUUUGAGUACGAGCGCGGCCGUUGGGACCCGAAAGAUGGUGAACUAUGCCUGGGUAGGGUGAAGCCAGAGGAAACUCUGGUGGAGGCUCGCAGCGGUUCUGACGUGCAAAUCGAUCGUCAAACCUGGGCAUAGGGGCGAAAGACUAAUCGAACCAUCUAGUAGCUGGUUCCUGUCGAAGUUUCCCUCAGGAUAGCAGCCGCGCGUGCCGGUUUUAUGAGGUAAAGCGAAUGAUUAGAGGCCUUGGGGGUGCAACACCCUUAACCUAUUCUCAAACUUUAAAUAUGUAAGAAGCCCCUGUUGCUUCGGUGAACGGGGGCAUUCGAACGCGGCGCGGCUAGUGGGCCAUUUUUGGUAAGCAGAACUGGCGAUGCGGGAUGAACCGAACGCGGGGUUAAGGUGCCGGAAUGCACGCUCAUCAGACACCACAAAAGAUGUCAAUUCAUCCGGACAGCCGGACGGUGGCCAUGGAAGCCGGAACCCG
This 589-nucleotide ribosomal RNA is filed under the name Collema laeve. RNAcentral describes it as "eukaryotic LSU rRNA". It matches the Rfam family "Eukaryotic large subunit ribosomal RNA", at positions 680 to 1270 of the family's 3401-position model. Lineage: Eukaryota; Fungi; Ascomycota; Lecanoromycetes; Peltigerales; Collemataceae. The record is from RNAcentral.